Molecule: transfer RNA, 72 nt
Filed under: Camelus bactrianus (Bactrian camel)
Lineage: Eukaryota; Metazoa; Chordata; Mammalia; Artiodactyla; Camelidae
Also listed under: 2 other names
Rfam family: tRNA
About the family: Transfer RNA (tRNA) molecules are approximately 80 nucleotides in length. Their secondary structure includes four short double-helical elements and three loops (D, anti-codon, and T loops). Further hydrogen bonds mediate the characteristic L-shaped molecular structure. tRNAs have two regions of fundamental functional importance: the anti-codon, which is responsible for specific mRNA codon recognition, and the 3' end, to which the tRNAs corresponding amino acid is attached (by aminoacyl-tRNA synthetases). tRNAs cope with the degeneracy of the genetic code in two manners: having more than one tRNA (with a specific anti-codon) for a particular amino acid; and 'wobble' base-pairing, i.e. permitting non-standard base-pairing at the 3rd anti-codon position.
Source: Rfam by way of RNAcentral
GGGUAUAUAGCUCAGUGGUAGAGUGUGUGCUUAGCAUGCAUGAGGUCCUGGGUUCAAUCCCCAGUAACUCCU